AGUGAACGCUGGCGGCGUGCUUAACACAUGCAAGUCGAACGAGAACGGAAUAUAGCUUGCUAUAUUUGUCAGCUAAGUGGCGCACGGGUGAGUAAUGUAUAGAUAACCUGCCCUUAAGAAAGGAAUAACAGUUGGAAACGACUGCUAAUGCCCUAUAUGCCUUUAAUACAUAAGUAUGCAAGGGAAACGCUUUAGUGCUUAAGGAUGGGUCUGUAUGGUAUCAGCUUGUUGGUGAGGUAAUGGCUCACCAAGGCUAUGACGCCUAACUGGUUUGAGAGGAAGAUCAGUCACACUGGAACUGAGACACGGUCCAGACGCCUACGGGAGGCAGCAGUGGGGAAUAUUGCACAAUGGACGAAAGUCUGAUGCAGCAACGCCGCGUGGAGGAUGACACAUUUCGGUGCGUAAACUCCUUUUAUAUAGGAAGAUAAUGACGGUACUAUAUGAAUAAGCACCGGCUAACUCCGUGCCAGCAGCCGCCGUAA
This 485-nucleotide ribosomal RNA is filed under the name uncultured bacterium. RNAcentral describes it as "partial 16S ribosomal RNA". It matches the Rfam family "Bacterial small subunit ribosomal RNA", at positions 29 to 523 of the family's 1533-position model. The record is from RNAcentral.